This 251-nucleotide unclassified non-coding RNA is filed under the name Hevea brasiliensis (rubber tree). Lineage: Eukaryota; Viridiplantae; Streptophyta; Magnoliopsida; Malpighiales; Euphorbiaceae. The record is from RNAcentral.
AUUGACAAUUAUAGCAGAGCAUGACUGGAUGAAAGAUCGGGCUAUUGCUUAUUCAGAGGAACUCCGGAAAGUAAAUGUUGAUGCUCCUGUUCUUGAAUAUAAGGAUGCUGUUCACGAGUUUGCAACUCUUGACAUGCUUCUCAAGACCCCUCAGGCUCAGGCUUGUGCUGAGGAUAUUGCCAUCUGGGUAAAGAAGCACAUUUCACUCCGAGGUCAUGAGUUUUCAUAUUGAUUUGGAUAGAGGUCUUGUA